Molecule: transfer RNA, 62 nt
Filed under: Epimeria cornigera
Lineage: Eukaryota; Metazoa; Arthropoda; Malacostraca; Amphipoda; Epimeriidae
Description: tRNA-Trp
Source: RNAcentral
UAAAUUUUAAGUUAAUAAAACUAAGAGCCUUCAAAGCUCUAAUUAAGAUAUCUUAAAUUUAC